This 233-nucleotide unclassified non-coding RNA is filed under the name Ascomycota sp. RNAcentral's name for it is "partial contains small subunit ribosomal RNA, internal transcribed spacer 1, and 5.8S ribosomal RNA". The stretch from base 1 to 47 matches the Rfam family "Eukaryotic small subunit ribosomal RNA", at positions 1785 to 1831 of the family's 1831-position model. Lineage: Eukaryota; Fungi; Ascomycota. The record is from RNAcentral.
AAAGUCGUAACAAGGUCUCCGUUGGUGAACCAGCGGAGGGAUCAUUAUAGAGUUGCAAAACUCCCUUAAACCAUUGUGGACGAGCUUGAUAGGUGCUCUGUCAGGCCGAAGGCUGGGCCCGUCAAACGGCCCGCUGUACGCCUGCCGGAGUGUCCUUAAACUCUUAUUGUUGGCAUCUUCUGAGGAACUUAUUUAAUAAGUCAAAACUUUCAACAACGGAUCUCUUGGUUCUG